This 252-nucleotide ribosomal RNA is filed under the name uncultured bacterium. RNAcentral describes it as "partial 16S ribosomal RNA". It matches the Rfam family "Bacterial small subunit ribosomal RNA", at positions 525 to 776 of the family's 1533-position model. The record is from RNAcentral.
ACGAAGGGGGCUAGCGUUGUUCGGAAUUACUGGGCGUAAAGCGCUCGUAGGCGGAUUUUUAAGUCAGGGGUGAAAUCCCGGGGCUCAACCUCGGAAUUGCCUUUGAUACUGGAAAUCUCGAGUCCGGGAGAGGUGAGUGGAACUGCGAGUGUAGAGGUGAAAUUCGUAGAUAUUCGCAAGAACACCAGUGGCGAAGGCGGCUCACUGGCCCGGUACUGACGCUGAGGAGCGAAAGCGUGGGGAGCAAACAGG